AUGAUUGGACAAGGAGGAUUUGGCAAAGUUUAUAAGGGAACACUAGGUGGUCAACAAAUUGCUGUCAAAAGGCUAAGUAGGGAUUCUCAACAAGGGACAAUUGAAUUCACAAAUGAAGUAGCACUUAUUGCCAAAUUGCAACACCGUAAUUUGGUUAGACUACUUGGAUGUUGUGGCGAGGGAGAUGAAAAGUUGUUGAUUUAUGAGUACUUGCCUAAUAAAAGCUUAGAUGACACACUUUUUGAUGAUUCAAGAAAACAGUUGCUAGACUGGACGACAAGGUUUAAUAUAGUCAAAGGAAUUGCAAGGGGGCUUCUUUAUCUCCACCGAGAUUCAAGAUUGACUAUAAUCCAUAGAGACCUCAAAGCUGGAAAUGUUUUACUAGAUGCAGAGAUGAAACCCAAGAUAGCAGAUUUUGGUAUGGCAAGGCUCUUUGACAAUAACCAGGAAAAUGCAAACACUUAA
Molecule: ribosomal RNA, 465 nt
Filed under: Triticum aestivum (bread wheat)
Lineage: Eukaryota; Viridiplantae; Streptophyta; Magnoliopsida; Poales; Poaceae
Description: partial small subunit ribosomal RNA
Source: RNAcentral